GAAUAUCGGACAAUGGGGGGAACCCUGAUCCCGCCAUGCCGCGUGUGUGAAGAAGGCCUUUUGGUUGUAAAGCACUUUACGCCAGGAGGAGGAUACUCCAGUUAAUACCUAGAGAUAGUUGACGUUAUCCGUCGAAUAAGCCCCGGCUAACUCUGUGCCAGCAGCCGCGGUAAUACAGAGGGUGCAAGCGUUAACCGGAUUUACUGGGCGUAAAGCGCGCGUAGGUGGCCAAUUAAGUCAAAUGUGAAAUCCCCGAGCUUAACUUGGGAGUUGCAUUCGAUACUGGUUGGCUAGAGUAUGGGAGAGGAUGGUAGAAUUCCAGGUGUAGCGGUGAAAUGCGUAGAGAUCUGGAGGAAUACCGAUGGCGAAGGCAGCCAUCUGACCUAAUACUGACACUGAGGUGCGAAAGCAUGGGGAGCAAAC
RNAcentral lists this ribosomal RNA (423 nucleotides) under uncultured bacterium. Its description in RNAcentral is "partial 16S ribosomal RNA". It matches the Rfam family "Bacterial small subunit ribosomal RNA", at positions 359 to 773 of the family's 1533-position model. The record is from RNAcentral.